GGUUCGACUCCGGAGAGGGAGCCUGAGAAAUGGCUACCACAUCCAAGGAUGGCAGCAGGCGCGCAAAUUACCCACUCUCAGUACGAGGAGGUAGUGACGAAAAAUAACAAUGCGGGACUCAUCAGAGGCCUCGCAAUUGGAAUGAGCGCACUUUAAAUCGUUCGACGAGGAUCUAUUGGAGGGCAAGUCUGGUGCCAGCAGCCGCGGUAAUUCCAGCUCCAAUAGCGUAUAUUAAAGUUGUUGCAGUUAAAAAGCUCGUAGUUGGAUCUGGGGUUCGGGUCGGCGGUUUGCCGCUUCGGCGGCUACUGCCGUGCUCGACUCUUACUAGCCGGUGCGUCUUGCGGUGCUCUUCAUCGAGUGCCGUAGGAGCCUGGCAUGUUUACUUUGAAAAAAUUAGAGUGCUCAAAGCAGGCGAUUCCGCCUGAAUAGUGUUGCAUGGAAUAAUGGAAUAGGACCUCGGUUCUAUUUUGUUGGUUUUCGGAACUUGAGGUAAUGAUUAAGAGGGACGGUCGGGGGCAUUCGUAUUUCGGUGUUAGAGGUGAAAUUCUUGGAUCGCUGAAAGACGGACAAAUGCGAAAGCAUCUGCCAAGAACGGCUCCAUUAAUCAAGAACGAAAGUCAGAGGUUCGAAGACGAUCAGACACCGUCCUAGUUCUGACCAUAAACGAUGCCAACUAGCGAUCCGCAGUGGUUGCUAUAAACGGACUCUGCGAGCAGCUUCCGGGAAACCAAAGUGUUUGGGUUCCGGGGGAAGUAUGGUUGCAAAGCUGAAACUUAAAGGAAUUGACGGAAGGGCACCACCAGGAGUGGAGCCUGCGGCUUAAUUUGACCCAACACGGGGAAACUCACCCGGUCCGGACACUGUAAGGAUUGACAGAUCGAGAGCUCUUUCUUGAUUCGGUGGAUGGUGGUGCAUGGCCGUUCUUAGUUGGUGGAGUGAUUUGUCUGGUUAAUUCCGAUAACGAACGAGACUCUAGCCUGCUAACUAGUUGCGCCGUGUUCAUACGCGGCUGUAGACUUCUUAGAGGGACAGGUGGCGUUUAGCCACACGAAAUUGAGCAAUAACAGGUCUGUGAUGCCCUUAGAUGUCCGGGGCCGCACGCGCGCUACACUGAAGGAGUCAGCGUGUGCUAUCCGGGCUCGGAAGAGUUCGGUAACCCGUUGAAACUCCUUCGUGCUUGGGAUUGUGGCUUGUAAUUAUCGCGCAUGAACGAGGAAUUCCCAGUAAGUGCAAGUCAUCAGCUUGCGCUGACUACGUCCCUGCCCUUUGUACACACCGCCCGUCGCUACUACCGAUUGAAUGGUUUAGCAAGGUACUCGGAUUGGUCUCGAUCUUGUACGAAAGUGCGGGAUCUGUGUCCGAGAAGAAGGCCAAACUUGAUCAUUUAGAGGAAGUAAAAGUCGUAACAAGGUU
This 1413-nucleotide ribosomal RNA is filed under the name metagenome. Its description in RNAcentral is "SSU rRNA". It matches the Rfam family "Eukaryotic small subunit ribosomal RNA", at positions 374 to 1801 of the family's 1831-position model. The record is from RNAcentral.